AGAGUUUGAUCAUGGCUCAGAACGAACGCUGGCGGCAUGCCUAACACAUGCAAGUCGAACGCUCAUCUUCGGAUGGGAGUGGCGCACGGGUGAGUAACGCGUGGGAACCUGCCCUGGGGUGGGGGAUAACCGAUGGAAACGUCGGCUAAUACCGCAUACGUCCUGAGGGAGAAAGAUUUAUCGCCCUGGGAGGGGCCCGCGUCGGAUUAGCUAGUUGGUGGGGUAACGGCCUACCAAGGCGAUGAUCCGUAGCUGGUCUGAGAGGAUGAUCAGCCACACUGGGACUGAGACACGGCCCAGACUCCUACGGGAGGCAGCAGUGGGGAAUAUUGGACAAUGGGCGCAAGCCUGAUCCAGCAAUGCCGCGUGAGUGAUGAAGGCCUUAGGGUUGUAAAGCUCUUUCGGCGGGGACGAUGAUGACGGUACCCGCAGAAGAAGCCCCGGCUAACUUCGUGCCAGCAGCCGCGGUAAUACGAAGGGGGCAAGCGUUGUUCGGAAUUACUGGGUGUAAAGGGCGCGCAGGCGGCCGAUCAAGUCAGAUGUGAAAGCCCCGGGCUCAACCUGGGAAUAGCAUUUGGGACUGGUCGGUUAGAGUUCGGGAGAGGAGAGUGGAAUUCCCAGUGUAGAGGUGAAAUUCGUAGAUAUUGGGAAGAACACCGGUGGCGAAGGCGGCUCUCUGGACCGACACUGACGCUGAGGCGCGAAAGCGUGGGGAGCAAACAGGAUUAGAUACCC
RNAcentral lists this ribosomal RNA (735 nucleotides) under uncultured bacterium. RNAcentral describes it as "bacterial SSU rRNA". It matches the Rfam family "Bacterial small subunit ribosomal RNA", at positions 8 to 787 of the family's 1533-position model. The record is from RNAcentral.